Molecule: ribosomal RNA, 460 nt
Filed under: uncultured bacterium
Lineage: Bacteria
Description: partial 16S ribosomal RNA
Rfam family: Bacterial small subunit ribosomal RNA
Source: RNAcentral
CCUACGGGAGGCAGCAGUGAGGAAUAUUGGUCAAUGGGCUUACGCCUGAACCAGCCAAGUCGCGUGAGGGAAGACUGCCCUAUGGGUUGUAAACCUCUUUUGUCAGGGAGCAAUUGGCGCUACGUGUAGCGUUAUCGAGAGUACCUGAAGAAAAAGCAUCGGCUAACUCCGUGCCAGCAGCCGCGGUAUUACGGAGGAUGCGAGCGUUAUCCGGAUUUUUUGGGUUUAAAGGGUGCGUAGGCGGUAUGCCAAGUCAGCGGUAAAAUCGCGGGGCUCAACCUCGCUCCGCCGUUGAAACUGGCGUUCUUGAGUGGGCGAGAAGUAUGCGGAAUGCGUGGUGUAGCGGUGAAAUGCAUAGAUAUCACGCAGAACUCCGAUUGCGAAGGCAGCAUACCGGCGCCCAACUGACGCUGAAGCACGAAAGCGUGGGUAUCGAACAGGAUUAGAUACCCUUGUAGUC